AAGUCGUAACAAGGUUUCCGUAGGUGAACCUGCGGAAGGAUCAUUAAUAAAUAAAAUCCUUUAUGGGUUUUUUUAAAAUCCAUAUCCACCAUUUUGUGCACUGUUAAAAAAAUUAUUUGCCUUUCCGGCUGAAUCGGGGACCAUUUUUGUUAGGAUGAAAAAGCUAAUUCUUUUUAUUAGCCAGGAAAUCUUAAUUGAUGGCUCUUGACCGGCCGAAAGGGUAUCUUAUCUAAAACCCUUAUUGUUUUUGAUUGUGACUGAAGUAAAAUAUCUUUGCAGCAAUGCAAUAAUAAAAAUUUUAAUACAACUUUCAACAACGGAUCUCUUGGCUCUG
Molecule: unclassified non-coding RNA, 334 nt
Filed under: fungal sp.
Lineage: Eukaryota; Fungi
Description: partial internal transcribed spacer region
Rfam family: Eukaryotic small subunit ribosomal RNA (bases 1-46)
Source: RNAcentral